UCAACGUCUUCACAGGUCAGUCCCCUGUCCCCCUACACCAGUCUCUAUCAGCAUCAACGUGAUCACAGGUCAGUCCCCUGUCCCCCUACACCAGUCUCUAUCAGCAUCAACGUCAUCACAGGUCAGUCCCCUGUCCCCCUACACCAGUCUCUAUCAGCAUCAACGUCAUCACAGGUCAGUCCCCUGUCCCCCUACACCAGUCUCUAUCAGCAUCAACGUCAUCACAGGUCAGUCCCCUGUCCCCCUACACCAGUCUCUAUCAGCAUCAACGUCAUCACAGGUCAGUCCCCUGUCCCCCUACACCAGUCUCUAUCAGCAUCAACGUCAUCACAGGUCAGUCCCCUGUCCCCCUACACCAGUCUCUAUCAGCAUCAACGUCAUCACAGGUCAGUCCCCUGUCCCCCUACACCAGUCUCUAUCAGCAUCAACGUCAUCACA
Long non-coding RNA from Oncorhynchus keta (chum salmon), 438 nucleotides. RefSeq lists it as uncharacterized. NCBI's taxonomy places the organism in Eukaryota, Metazoa, Chordata, Actinopteri, Salmoniformes, Salmonidae. The transcript has 3 exons. The record is from RefSeq and is a predicted model, not a curated record.